UCGGGAUAUAUAAAGAGUUAUGUGGUGUGCAACCUAUCAAAUUAAAUCUCUUUGAGUCUAGUUUCUAAAUCAUCAAACCGUUUGUCAUUUGAAUAUUUAUACAAGACGUUAUGGGUGUUUAAACAGAAGGUGUCCGACAAGGAACAAUUUUAAUAGGAUGUACAACCUGUAUAGCACAAGUUCAAGGUACAACUCGACGAAGCACAGACAGAUUCUUUUAUACACGGAUUUAGCUCACUUUUCUUCAUUUCUUCAAAGGAUGGACGAUUUUUGGGGAGCUUCAAAAGGGGAUUUUCAUCAUCAAUGUGAAGGUAAGUUAUCCCCACCUAUUUUGAGUUAGGUACAUCAAUUAUGUAUGGAUUUGAGCAUGAAAAUUGUAGAAAAAUUGAGGAUUUUGGCCUAGGGAUUUGAAAAUAAGAUUUGGUGAUUUGAGGGGUCAAAUGAUCUCCGAUUUUGGUAAAUUUUAUAUGUAUGUACUCGUGGCGAGACGAGGAAUCCGGUGAUUUGACUUUCGUAAUUUUUCAAGAAGUGGGCCCGGGGCUCGGGUUUUGCUAAUUUCGGGAUUUUCGACAUUUUUCGAGUAUUUUCGAUUGGGUUAUAUUCUCUUAGCCUAAUGUGACGCAUUCGUUGUGCUUUUGACUAGAUUCGAUGCGUGAAGAGGUCGAUUCAAGAGGAAAGGGCAUUGCGGACUAGUCUACGGCCGGUUAGAGGUGAGUAAUAGAUAUAAAUGCUGUUAUGAGGAUUUGAAUACCCGGACUUUCACAUUGUAACGCUAUAUUGAGGCGUGACACGCACUCCAUGGCGAGUACGGGGUCGGAUACUAUUGGGGAUUGUGACUUGGUCCAUCUCGUGUGAUGUUUAUACUAUACUGGUGAUUAAUACACAUACUUCAUUGAUAUUACGGGGCUUGAUGCCAUGUUUGGGGCCUUGUGCCGAUUUGUAAAAUCCUUCGAGGAUUGAUAUUACUGCUUAGCAUGAUUUGCAUAUCAUUUAAUUUCAG
RNAcentral lists this long non-coding RNA (1000 nucleotides) under Nicotiana tabacum (common tobacco). Its description in RNAcentral is "long non-coding RNA (NTAB_LNC003840)". Lineage: Eukaryota; Viridiplantae; Streptophyta; Magnoliopsida; Solanales; Solanaceae. The record is from RNAcentral.